Equus asinus (donkey) is the source of this 2125-nucleotide long non-coding RNA. NCBI's taxonomy places the organism in Eukaryota, Metazoa, Chordata, Mammalia, Perissodactyla, Equidae. The record is from Ensembl.
AAGGGUGGCCCGCCCUGGUCUCCCCGCGCCCCGCCGCCCGCCCCGGAGGGGUUUCCGGUGAUGCCCUCUGGUCGCGCCGGUGGCUCCAGCUGGAUUUGGGCAAGUUGGGGCCGGGCCGGAGCGGCGGCCGCCGGGGGUUGUUGGGCCCGGGUUCGUUGGGAGGCGCCUCGGGCCGGAGGGGCCUCGCGGGCCCGGGGCCCCGACGCGCCGACGCGCCGACGCGCCGACGCGCCCGACGCCCCGGGCCACCUGGCCCCGAGCAGAGCAGCCGGAUGUCCUGCGACCCGUCGCCGGGAUGCGGGCGGACAGGAGGCCUGGAGCGUCCGGGGCCGGCUUGGGAGAGCGCCUAGACUUGCGCCCCGCCCGCCCACAGUCCCCGGGGUGCCCGAGGCCUCCCGCGCCCUGGGCGGGCGGCAGGGCAGGGCAGGGCAGGGCAGGGCAGGGCAGGGCAGGGUUUGGCUGGCCGCGGCGGCGGCGGCGGCGGCGGUGGCGGGAGGCAGUGGCAGGCAGGCGGCAGGCGGCGGAGCGCGGGGCGCAGGGGACGCGGGCGUCCGGUGCGCGUCACAGGGGCUCGGGCGCGCGCGUCACAGGGGCCAGGCGACGGCGCGUCACAGGGACCAGGCGACAGCGCGCGCGCGCGCGCGCGCGCGAGGCUUCUUAGGGGCGCCGGCGGCAGCCACCAGCGUCUACGGCCAUACCACCCUGAACGCGCCCGAUCUCGUCUGAUCUCGGAAGCUAAGCAGGGUCGGGCCUGUCAUGACACCCUGCAAAAUAGCUCAAAGAGAGUUGACUGAAGAAAUGGAAACGUCAGUGAUGAAGGAUGCAAGAAACAGGACAGCAGUCCAGUAAUUCACCCUGGAGGGGUUUGCAGCUGUCCAGCAUCAUAGGAAGGUUUUCUUCCUGGUGCAUCUUCUGGAGUACCUGGCCUCCAUCAUGGGAAACAUACUCAUAAUCACCAUCACCUGGGCUGACCAUCACCUCCAGACACCUAUGUACUUCUUCCUCAGCAGUUUCUCCUUUGUUGAAUGCUGCUUAUAACCACUGUUAUUCCUAAGUUGCUGGCUAUCUUUCUGUCAUGGAGGAAAUCAAUUAAAAACAUGGAGAAAUCUAUACCAGGGCACAUACUAAUCAAAUUGCUCAAAACCAGUGAUAAAGAGAAAUCUUCAAAGCAGCCAGAAGAAAAAAAGACACAUUUCAUACAGAGGAACAAAGAUAAAUAUACCAAAGAUUUCUCUUUGAAAAUAACUAAGUGAGAACUCAAUGACACAAUUUUUAAAGGACUGUGAAUAAAAAUUUGCCAACCCAGAAUUCUGUAGUCAUGAAACUAUCUUUCAAAAAUGAAGGCAUACAAAAGAUAAAAGAAUUAAUCACCAGCAAAUCUACAGAAUGAUAGUUGGUAAAGGCAGUCCUCCAAGAGAAAGAAAAUUAUACCAGAUAUAAAUAUGGAUCUAUGCAAAGAAUGAAGAGCACCAGAAAUAGUAACCAUGGGGUAGGUAUAUAGGGUAUUUUUAAAUAAUUUAAAUUUCUUUGAAAGAUCAUUGACUCUGUCAACAAAAAUAGUAACAAUGCACUGUGGGGUUUAUAACAUAUGUAUAAGGAAAAUGUAUGAAAAGAAUAGCAUAAAGUCUGAGGGAGUAGAAAUGGAAGUAUGUUAUUACAAGUUGCUUAUAUGAUAUGUGAAGUGGUAAAAUAUCACUUGAAGGUAGACAAUGAUAAUUUAAAGAUGUAUACUAUAAAUCCAAGGCAACCACUGAAAUAAAAAUCAGAGUUGUAGCUAAGGAGCCAACAAAGGAGAUAAAAUGGAAUCAUCACAAUGGGGCAGCAGGAAACUUUUGGGCUGGUGAAUAUUUUCAUUAUAAUCAUUGUGGUGGUGAUUUUACAAAUGUUUAAAUGUGUCAAAACUUAUCAAAUUGUACUCUUGAAAUAUGUCCAUUUUAUUUUGUAUCAAUGAUACCUCAAUAAAGCUGUUUCAAAGACAAUAAAGCAGAUUGCAAUGGAAUAUUAAAAAUGCUUCAUUAAUUCAAAAAAAGAAAGGAGAAAAUAAGGAAUAUAUAAUGGUGGGGACAAAUAGAAGGAAACAUCAAAAUUGUAGAGUUAAAUCUAACUUUACAAUAAUGAGAUUAAA